UUUGCAAGGACUAGUGAACACACCGAGGCGUAGCUCAGUCGUUGGUUGGGACAGUGGACUGACUAGAUAUUCGGCGACAAGCGUGUAAACCAAGGGAAAGCUUGCGAUUUUGGCGCUUGCAUCGGUCGUGAUGGCUUCUGGAGCUGAGAGACCCGAGGCCGGAGACAGCGAACAAGACGAAGAGGAAGAUGUGUACGAAGUGGAGAAAAUUAUUGACAUGCGAGUGGAGGAGGGGGAGGUGCUGUACCGCGUGCGCUGGAAGAACUACACCUCGGACGAAGACACCUGGGAGCCCGAGGCCCACCUGGAGGACUGCAGAGAGGUGCUGCUGGCCUACAAGAAGGCCCUGGCCGAGAACAAGCCCAAGAAGGAUGCCAGCGUGACCCCUUGCAGUGAUGAUAGCUCAAGGUCCCUCUCUGAGCCACCCCCCCAAAGCCAGCUGCCGAUGAAAAGCGACAUCUUCAACGCCGACUCGGAGAGCAGCGACACCGAGCGGCCCGUCACCGCGCCCGUGAAAAAGAAGAAGAAGAAGAAGAAGCAGCAGUCGGAGCCCGAAGACGACGAGCUCCUGGUGAAGGAGAAGAAGAAGAAGAAGAAGAAGAAAUGGAAGGAGGACAAGCCCCUGCCAGCGCCGGAGACAGACAAGGAGGAAGAGGAGGAGGAGGAGGAGGAUGACGAGGCGGCCCGCGAGGCUCCUCCUCCUCCUCCGCCACAGCCACCGCAGCUGUCCCGCAAGGACCACAAAGCCGCCGAGAGCAAGCGCAGGCUGCCGGAGUCGGACGACUCGGACGCCCCCGUCGCCCCAAAGAAGCACAAGAAGGAGGGCAAGUUCAAAGAUGGCGGCGGGAAGCAGCAGAAGAAGAAGGAGAGUGCGGAGGAGGGGAGGAAGAUGAAGAGGAAGAAGGCCAAGAAGGGGCUGGAGUCGUCCGACGAGGACGAGGGCACCAACAGCGAGGUGGCCACCGAGACGCAGUCGCUCGGCAACGAGGACACGGCGGAGAGCCACAGCGACACGCCGGCGAGGGCCAAGCCGUCGGAGAAGGAGCGGGAGCGGACGCAGCAGAAGGCAGAGGGCAAGAAGAAGAGCAAAAGCGACCUGAAGCUGCAGGGCCUGAAGGAGCUCAUGCAGGACAAGAAGCCCAAGAAGCCCGAGGGGUCAGGGUCCGGGUCCGGGGCCGCCACGCUCAGGGACAGCAGCCUGAGCAAGCUCAAGAGCCUGACCAGCGGCGGCGGCGGCGGCAAGAGCCACAAGCCGUCCCGGGGCAGCAACGAGGGCGACGCCGCGGAGGCCAAGCCGCGGGGAAAAGGACAGGAGUCGGCCUCGCAGCGAGCGCCCUCUUCGUCUUCCUCUUCCUCGUCGUCCUCUGGCCGCGGCAAAGAGGACGAGGCCAGGGAGGGCGCGGCGGGUGGCGCCGCCUCCAACCUGUUUGAAGAAUUCCUGCUCAACUGCGAGGCCAAGGACCGGGCACCGCGACGACACGGACAACACACGGGCACCGCUGGCACCGCUGGCACAGAGAAGAAUGCGGCCAAAUCGGACAAGAAGACGAGGCCCAUGAAGGAGUCCCCAGCACGACGGCCAGACGCUGACAAGGCGGACAAAUCCAAAGAUGCGUCGCGCUCCGGACAGAGCCCCGCGACCCCGGAGUCGGACGGCGAGGAGAGGAGGGAGGAACCUCCUGCGAGGUCAAAGGUCGAGGAGCGCAAGGAGCGUACGACGGCAGAGGAGGAGGAGAGGCGGCGGAAGGAGCGGCUGGAGGACCGUCGAACGGCGGCAGCGGAGACGCCAACGUCCAGCGACUUCGGGGACGAGGCCAGCAAGUGGAGGGAGCGGCGGAGGAAGAGGCAGGACAGCGAAACGCGCCUCGGCGACGACAAUCAAGACACACACGACCCCUCAGAGAGGCCUGACAAAACGCCUGAUCGGGGCCAGGCCUCACUGAACCUCGGGGUGGAUAUUAAGCUGGACUGGAUGACACUGGAUGACUUUCAGAAACACUUGAACGGGGAGGAUGAGAUUCUCUCCGCAGAGCCACUAACUCCCACUGAGCUGCGGGAGGCGGUGAAGAGUGGAGAUUACCUGGCUGUGAAACUUGCAAUUGCUUCCAACGUGGACUACAAUCUGGACCAGGAGGACUCCAGCGGUAUGUCCCUGAUGAUGCUGGCCGCCGCAGGGGGACACGAUGACAUCCUGCGGCUGCUCAUCAAGAAGGGCGUGAAGGUGAACGGCCGGCAGAAGAACGGCUCCACCGCGCUCAUGCACGCUGCCGAGAAGAACUUCCUCACCACCGUGGCUAUUCUGCUGGAAGCCGGUUGCUAUGUCAACACACAGCAGCUGGGAGGAGAGACGGCGCUGAUGAAGGCGUGCAAGCGAGGCAAUGCGGACGUGGUGCGCCUCCUGCUGGAGUAUGGUGCAGACUGCAACAUCCUGUCCAAGCACAAGAACACGGCCAUGCACUUUGCCAAGAUCAGCAACAACCUGGUGGUGUACGACCUAAUCAAAGACCACAUCCACACGUUAUCGACCGUAGCAGAGGAGACAAUCCGAGCGUACUUUGAGACGCGAUUGGCCUUGCUGGAGCCAGUGUUUCCCUUGGCCUGCCACAGACUGUGUGAGGGGCCAGACUUCUCUCUGGACUUCAACUACAAACCCCCCACACACAACCCUGGAGAAGGAUCAGGUAUCCUUCUCUUUAUCUUCCACGCCAACUUCCUGAGCGAGGUCACAGCCAGGCUGUGUGGCCCCUGUAGCGUCCAUGCCGUCGUCCUCAACGACAAGUUCCAGCUGCCCAUCUUCCUGGACAGUCACUUCAUCUACUCUUUCAGUCCGGUGCUGGGAUCCAACAAACUGUUUAUCAGACUCGCCGAGGCCCCAACCGCAAAGGUCAAGCUCCUCAUCUGUGCAUACAGAGUUCAGCUGCAAUGACCUGAUCAGUGAACAUCCUUCAGAUCAACAGUCCAGAAGACCUGAAUGAAAUGCUCCGUUAGACAAACACACAUAGAUAGAUACACACACACACACACACACACACACACACACACACUCAAAUAUCACACAGAUGCAGACAAAGAUACUUGUGUGCACACACGCGCGCGCACCACUGCAGACACAAGAACUCAUGUGUGCGAACAAAGUCAGCUCACCAAGGACUUCUCAGUUGGUUUCCAUUCAAUUCAGGAGACCUGGAACUUAGUGGUCCAAAAGGGCGUAGCCCAGCCUUCCCUUGAAGAGCAUGUCACGUCUUUCUUUUUUUUUAGAUAGUUUGUUUGUUUUCGGUGAGCAGCAGAGUGUAACGUGUGUGAGAGCACCGUCCCAUGUACAACACACACGUUCAAAGUGUUGCGGACACUCCUCUAUACCCCCCACCCCCCGCCCCCAACAGGCCAAUACACCCCUCACCACAGCCACAGGAAAAGUGUGUGUGUGUGAGAAAAGGAGAGUGAGAGCCUGUUUUAAGUUUUAUACCUGAAGGUCAUUUGUAAAUCUUGUUUGUUUGUAUAUUUUCUUUUCCUUAAUAGAAUAAUUUAUCUGCAGAUUUAAUUUAGUAUCCAGCUUUUUUGAUCUCUUCCCAUUUUAUUCUGCGACCUGCCGUGUGUGUGUGUGUGUGUGUGUGUGUGUGUGUGUGUGUGUGAGAAUGAGAAUGUCUAGCUGAUAUGUGUCCUUGUGUGUUAAAAGUGUGCCUCUGCGCAUUUGUGUGUUUUCCGUACACACACACACACCAGUGGAGGCGACUAUCACAGUUGAAGAAAGCUCUUGACCUGACUGAGUCGGGGAGGGAGCACAGGGCUCUGGACUUGAUGUGGUUUGGUUUAGGUGUAAACAAAUCAUCAGAGCUUCUGUCAUGUUUUUAUGUGUGUUUGUAUGUCCACUUUUUUUUUUUUUUUUUUCAGUUUUCUUUCCUUUAAAGCCUUCCUUCCCAGGUACAUGCAUCAGGGCUGUAGGUGUAUUACUUAUGACUGCUAAUGUACUGAGAGCUCCACUAGUCAGCAGGUAGACACUGUAGUGUGUGUGUGUGUGUGUGUGUGUGUGUGUGUGAGCAGACAGACUCUGUCACCUUAAGGGCUACGACGUGCCUGCCUUGGGAAGCAGCAUAGCGCGUUUCUUUUGUUUUGGGGGGGGGGGUAAUCGAGUGAGGAGCAAUCAUCUGUUGUCACUUGUCACUGUUGCAGCUUUGUGGGAGAACAAUAAACUGUUCGUGUUCUCCUUUCUGCUACUGGGGAACGUCCAGGAAGUGAUGCGCAGACAUCUACAGCAGGGCCUGUCUGAUAUUCUGUACAUGUUGGGAACCAGACGUGGAGAGAUUUGUUUUGUUUUGUCCCCUAGUGUUUUUCUCCAUUAUGUCUGCCAAUAAACCUGGUGGCGUGUCAACACUGAACAUGGCUUUUUAAAAAAAAAAAAUAUAUAUAUAUAUAUAUAGCUGCUAAAAGUUCAUUUUUACCGUUCUGAGGCCAAUUGCUGCCUUUUCCCCCCUACCCUCAUGUAAAUGGUGUCAAUGACUGCAUCGUUAAGUUAUUUGCAUGUCCUAGUCAAACAAAACAAAUCAAACAGUUCCAAAAUGGAUUUUGGUAAUGGUACAGAAACUAUCAUAACAUGACUUUUUAAAAAGAGGAUUGCAUUGCUUGUUUUGUGGAAAAUGGCACUUUUUUCCAAUAAGUCUUUUGUUUUAGUCUUUUCCCACCAUGGUUUGUCCCCAAAUAUGUGGCCUCAACUUAAGGUUGUGUGUGAGUCUCUAUGGAAAGCUUGAGGAAGAGAGUGGCUGAUUGUCUGUGUGUGUGUGUGUUUUUGUUUCCUCCUCCUCUGCCUCCUGUGCAGUCUGACACACCCUAAAUCAGGGGCUCACGUUGUCUCUGGAAAACAAUAUAUAUUAAAAAAGAAAAAUAAACUGUACAUAUGUUUCCAUAACUAUAAA
Alosa sapidissima (American shad) is the source of this 4910-nucleotide RNA transcript. It is a transcript of the gene named M-phase phosphoprotein 8, with no coding region annotated. The record is from RefSeq and is a predicted model, not a curated record. The transcript is spliced from 16 exons. Lineage: Eukaryota; Metazoa; Chordata; Actinopteri; Clupeiformes; Clupeidae.